GACGAACGCUGGCGGCGUGCCUAAUACAUGCAAGUGGGACGCAAGGAAACACACUGUGCUUGCACACCGUGUUUUCUUGAGUCGCGAACGGGUGAGUAACGCGUAGGUAACCUGCCUAUUAGCGGGGGAUAACUAUUGGAAACGAUAGCUAAUACCGCAUAAUAUUAAUUAUUGCAUGAUAAUUGAUUGAAAGAUGCAAGCGCAUCACUAGUAGAUGGACCUGCGUUGUAUUAGCUAGUUGGUAAGGUAAGAGCUUACCAAGGCGACGAUACAUAGCCGACCUGAGAGGGUGAUCGGCCACACUGGGACUGAGACACGGCCCAGACUCCUACGGGAGGCAGCAGUAGGGAAUCUUCGGCAAUGGACGAAAGUCUGACCGAGCAACGCCGCGCGAGUGAAGAAGGGUUUCGGAUCGUAAAGCUCUGUUGUAAGUCAAGAACGUGUGUGAGAGUGGAAAGUUCACACAGUGACGGUAGCUUACCAGAAAGGGACGGCUAACUACGUG
RNAcentral lists this ribosomal RNA (505 nucleotides) under uncultured bacterium. Its description in RNAcentral is "partial 16S ribosomal RNA". It matches the Rfam family "Bacterial small subunit ribosomal RNA", at positions 28 to 507 of the family's 1533-position model. The record is from RNAcentral.